This is a long non-coding RNA of Capsicum annuum, 1374 nucleotides long. RefSeq lists it as uncharacterized. The record is from RefSeq and is a predicted model, not a curated record. Lineage: Eukaryota; Viridiplantae; Streptophyta; Magnoliopsida; Solanales; Solanaceae. The transcript has 2 exons.
UCAAUUAAAUUUAAUUAUAUUCUAAUUAAAUUUAAUUAGGGUUAUUUAAUAACUCAAUUAGGUUUAAUAGGGGUUAUUAAAUAAGCCCAAUUAAAGACCCAAAUUUAAAUAACCAAGCCGGCCCAACUAGCACACCUUUUAUUUACUGAAAAUUGUUAGCCCAUCACAAUAAGAUCCAACAUCAGCCCAGCCUAUCCAUUUAAAUUACUAAACCCUACCAUCCCACUUUUAAAAAAUUCCUUUACCCGGCUCAUACCCUUAUAUCUGUCCCCUUCAGAAAACAACCUUCAACAAUCAACAACAUUCGAUUUCAACCAGACACAACCUCGACAACUCUAUCAACUUCGCGACCCAAUCCAUCUUCAACCCGAUUUUAACAAAAUCAACCUAUUUGCAUCCUUCUUCACGCCUGUCACGCAAUAGUACAACGAAAAGCUUUGAUAAUCUUCUAGAAACACGUCCAGGUGUCUUCUCCAAUAUUCCAACCCCGUGAAUCUCGGAUACCAUGGUACGAAUUCGUACAUACUUGGUUGUUUUUUAUUGGUAUGGAAUGGAAUUUAUUUUGUCCUUUUUUAAUUGGUCCAUCAUUUCAAAGAAUAAAAAAAUUGGUACCAAUGAGGAUGAAAUCUAAGCUGUAGAAGGGUUCCAGUUUGAAUUUCAAAAUUAGUCCUUUUUUCAAAUCCCUAAUCCACCCCCAGUUUCGUCUUCUAUAUAAGAAAUGAUUGGGUCUUAUUUUAGGGGAGAUUUUGGGGGUCCGAAAAUCGAGGAUUGUUCUCUUCCUUCCAAGUUUGAAAUUUUGGGUUCGAAGGGGGGUUUUUCUCUUCUUUAUGGGGGGGUAGGUUUGAUUCUGGGGUAUUCUAAAAAGGUUUAAAAUUCUGGGGUUGAAGGUUCUGGGGUGGGGAAACUUUUGGGUCCAAAAAGGAUUAGAAAUUCUGGACUCAAAAACCUAGGGAGAAAAUUUCCUUCAGGGCAGCAAAACAUUUCUUUGAGAGGGAAAACCAAGAAAGAACAGGGAGAAAUAGUCAGCUAGUCGAGUGUUCACGACGGUAUUGAGCUUUCCGGUGGUGGUGGAAGUCCGAAGUUAGCUCAUAGUACUGUUUUGCUGCCUCAAAACAGCAAUGGGACAUUGAGGCCCGCCCUUUUAGAAGAUGUUGAAUGUCGCGGAAGUAGUACAAGUAUAAAGAGUCGAAAAGAAGAACGGGUUAAAAUCCCGUCUUUGAAGCAGCAAAGAGACUAGAAAGUUUCUUUUAUCUUUUUAUUUAUUUACAGAUUCAUUGGCGUCCUUCAUUUGUUUAUUUACUUUUUAUUCAUUCGUGUAGGCCUCGAAGCCAAAAGUUUUAAAUUUAAUACAGGUGGAGCAAUACUCGAUCUAAA